AUUAACUGGUUAAUAAAAGACAAAAAAAAAUAUAUUUAAAGUCUUAUACUUUGAAAUAAUGACAUAGGAAAUUGCAAUUGCUGGUCAGUCACUGUGCCUCUAUUAGAAACUUUGUUCUGUGACAUGAAACAGAGCUGAAUUUGAAAAUAGGAUUGGUUUGGUAUCUCUUUAAGGCUCUGCUCAGGCUCUAGUUUCAUACGCCUUCAAAAGUCAUGUACACAUUACUUUAGUAUCUAAGAAAAAAUCCUAAUAAAAAUAAAGAAAACACAUUCUUUUAUAAGAUGAAUAUGGACUGUCUUACACUGUUAAUCUCUUAAAACCAUUCCUUCUUUAUUUCUAACAUUGCUUUAUUAAGACAAAAUUCAACUGCCAGAUACAUAAGCACUUCUCUACAAAACAUGAUUUAAUCUAGAGUUGUUAUGGUUUGAAACCUUAAAAAGGUAUUGGUUUGGGAUUGCUCCCUGUUAGACAUCAUAUUCAAACACUUUUUUUGUUUCUAAUAGAGGGAAUGUCAUCUGGCCUAAAAGAGAUUUUUGGAGUAUAACAUGGUACUCAUUAAAUUUCUGCUUCCUGAAAAAUGUGUAAAAGUAAGUCAAUGUCAAAAGGAAAAAUUGUUGCAGAUCCUAGAUGCAGUAACAUUUACUUCUGCUUUCUCUAACAUGGACUAGCAAGGGUGACACAUGAUCAUACACACAGAUCAUAAUUCUUUAAAAAUCAGUGUGAACAACUGCGACAACAAAGUAAGAACAAUAAGAAAUAACUUCACCUGUCAAGAUGCUGAGAGAUUUAAAGGAGGAAAAUAUAAUUUGUUUGGUUUUAAAACAAUAUUCUGCAAAGUAUCUGAAUGCAUAUUCUAAGACAUAUAUGAAAAAUAAUUUGGUAGGAGCACAACGUACUCAGAUGGUGGUACGCGGCGUGUGGUGUAGUGGCCAGGUGGGGCAGCUGUCACACUGCUGUAAGGUAGUCCACACACAAGCAGCCAGUGGCCUCACUGUAGACAGCAGGGACAAUAUGCCCAUAAGAAACAUUUAACAUCUCAAACAACACUGUUUGCUCAUUGACACUCUCAGCCAGCCAGCAAAAGACAGGCUUGUCAAGACAAUGCAACCAACUCCUCGGGUAUUGCUGCCUUUCACAUUAGAAACACGGCACACAAGGGCGAGAGUAGACUUUGCUCCCACUGCAGAUUCCCUGGUCGAUGAGACAUAGAUGUACAACUCCAUGCAUCCUCAUAUCCUCUCCUAGAUCUGAGGCCAAGGCUCUGGGUUUAAAGCUUGUGACUUUGUUAUCAGCAAAAACUGAAGAACCAUGCUCGUGAAAAAAGAGCUGGUAAACAUGGGAAAAAAUCAUCCUUUUGCUGAAUUUUCCUGUAAUAUAUCUGAUUGCACUCCAAGUUAAUUAUGUGUAUACCAGUUUUUCAAACUGCUUACACAUAUUUAUGUCACUUUGCUUUUUAUGAAAUGGUUACACAAAUACAGAUGUGACAUGCAAGGGCUGCCCUUCUGAGUGGAAAGGUAGUAAUUUUUUAAAAUGAUGAUUACUUUUAAGCACAUAAAUAUUUUUGAAUACAUUAACUGUUAAUUUCACUGACAUUAGAAGUCAGGAUUGUGACAUCAAAAUUUAUUACAAUGAAUUUACUGUAAUGUUAGAAAUAAGAGAUUAUGAGAGUGUAUAGAAAACACCAAGAGCUAUUAAAAAAGGGAUUGGCUUAUACAAAAUACUAAUGCCAAAAGAAAAGCACAUCACAAUUGAGUGCAAUUUAGAGCAAACAUGGUUUGCUCUUGCAGAAAACAACUGAGAUAACUGUGCCUCAUCACCUGUCUUGCUUGCACGCUGCCAGCACUCUCCAGAACACCUGGAGGUAUUUCUGAUUUCACCAGUCUGAGCAAAGGAAACCCUGAACCUUGACCUAAGUCUUGGCAAAUAUGUAAAGGAAUUACUGACUUUCCAACCAUAUGUCUAUUAUCUGUAAUUUUAAGCCUACACACAUGCUCUGCUAAUGAGCUUACACAGCUUUCAUCAUUCUUUCAAAGAAGUAGGAAAAAAAUCAGCUGUCUGGAAGUAAUGGGGAUACAUUGCUAAAGAAGUUUGGAGGAGACCAACAAGACUGUGAUAAUGCUGGUAGAAGAGGCAUUUUCCAGAAUUGCAUGUUACACUCUUUAUUAGAAAGCAUACUCUGUACAAAAAAUGACGUCUUAGAUGCUUGAUUAAAAGGUACCUAAGAGAUGGAGGCAAUGAUGAAGGAAAUAGUCUGCAAGCAAAGACCGAAUGUGUGAUGUGCAGACUGUCAUUACAAUUUUUUUUUCCUAUAGACCAUCUGUGCUAUAUGAAGGUUUGUAUCCUCAAGACAGCCAUAAUUCACACUAAUGUCAUGACACAAGCUACAACCAACAAUGCUAGAAAGGUUAUGUCAGCAUCGAGGUCACCUGGGAGAAGAAUGUGGACAUUGGAGGAGCAGAAGACAAACAAAGGCUGAAAGUGGAGGAAGAGAAGCCAAGGACAUUCCUUUUGCUAGUUAAUUUUUCUAAGUAUGCUUCAUAAAGGUUUUAAUUUAUGUGAAUAUAUGCAUUAUGGGUUAGCAUAAUUAUUCCAUAGUGUAAUUUAAAAUAGCCCACUGGAUGCCAACUGACAAGCUACAUCUGAGCCUAUUGACUUUCCACUGUCAUUUUGUAGCAAAAUGUGGUGAAAAGGUAGAUAGGCUUAUCUGCACAUCUGUAGCUAGAACCCAAUAUCUUUGCUUUACAGUUAUGAGCAAGAAUCUUGCCUACUUACAAGUCUGCUCUGGGAAAUGAUUAGAACGGAAUGUCAAUGAUAUUAAUGUAAGCAUAGGGCUCUUUCAGGAAUGUGCUAUCAGCUUAUGUAUUAACUUUAUAAGAUGGAGGAGGUGAACUGAAGCUGUUAGUAGUCCAUGAGAAGAGAGAUACCAACAGCCUUCCAGUGCUUGAGACCUCUCCUAUUGCCUUCUUUUCUUCUAAUCAUAUGGAUAAAAAGAAAAAAGAAUAAUACAGAAAUCUCUUGCUGGUUUGGUAAUAUCUUCAUUUUAGAGAAGCGUUAAGCUUUCCUCUCUACUUAAUAUCAAAAAAUGCAGAAGAGUCAAUAAGUCAUUUUAGGCAUGCUUAUUAUCAGAUCUAGUGCCUCAGCCAUCUGCCUAAACAGCUCCUGAAACUGCUGAUAGUUGUCUGGAACUGAUUAUAACCACUGUCACUGAAUCCUCAGAAGACAUUAAAGAAGUCAGGCUAAUAUCAGUUUAUUUACAUAUCCUCACUCUUGUAACAUAUCUAUAUCUAGCAGCUCAGAAUGGCUUAAACAGGGGUCAUGGUUCUAGCUUUGUAGGGGAAAUGGUACAAUAAGAUAAGAACUUGAUUUUAUAGGAGAGGAAAAAUAAUAGCAGAAUUUUCACAAUUUUCAGCUAACAGACUGACUUAACUUCACCUGUCCACGGAAGACAAUGUGAAAACAGUCAGGCAGAAUUAGAGACACAGGGCAGGAAACAACACAGUGGUAUAAAACUUUUAGAGUCAGAAUGGAGAUUUCAGACCAAGUUAGGAAUUGCAACACUUAAUAUCUGUCACGUCGGCUCUGCAGGAGACUUAGCAAGGCUGCAUUAGAUUUACCUCAUGGCAUACAGUAGGAGUUAGAUUCCCAAGAACAUUAUCCAAGUGAGUGAAAGGCUGAUCAGUGAGUCUCACAGAGGCAGCCAGUGGGGAACAGGGAGCAGAACAGUGUCUAAAACAUAGUUUUUCUCAGAGACUUAAAUACUUGCAUCUAGUGUGGAGGUACAGCUCAGAAGUUUUCCUGAUGGUAGAUAGUUAUUGCCAUUCCUUCUGGGCGAGACUGAAUGACUUCUUCAAAAGCAAGUUGUGCCAUGAGACAGUAAUGAUACCUGCUUCCCAUGGAUGUGUGCUGGUUUUGUACUACACCUCUUUACAAUAACAAUUUGUUUCCCACAGGUUCUACCAGCUAAACGGCAGUAUAAACUAAGGCAUCUUUUGACACAUUUAUCUGUUCCAUACCCUACCCAAGAAUUCUCUUGUCACGGGCAUGAAUUUAUGAAUUUGGAUCUCUCCUCUCCAUCCAGAUGCUUAUUUUUUCAGAAACUCUGUCCCUUUUCCAGUUUGACUGACUUGGGACAAUGAGUUUAAAAGUUAUGUGAGUUGAGGGGUUGAGGGCUGAGGGAUGGGGAGUGGGGGAAGAUUUACAGAAUAACCUUGUGACCCAUUAAGCCUUGUGUUUUUAGGAGGGCAGGCAAAAAAUACAGGAGCAAGGGCAGCAAUGGCUGCCUUGUUUUUCAGGAUUUGAAAACCUAGUGGUGAAGCACCCUCCUAGGAAGCAAGAAGCAAGCCCAGCCUAUGUAGUUUCAAAUCUGCAUCUUUUGUGAUCAGGGAGAUUUCACCUAAUUAUCAAAUUAGUUACUCAUGGAGGAAUGCUCCUGUGACCUUUACGCUUAUGACUUGGCAAGGAAGCAGCUAUAGAGACAGACCCUUUGCUAGACUAUGAACUUGUGCCAACAUCUGCAAAGAGACACAAAGUUUAGCACCUGAAUCCAAUUUUCAGCAGCUACCUGAGUGGGUCGAUCCUGAGGCCUUAGCAGUUCCCAAAUGAAGGCUCUGGUGAAUCAGAACAUCUGUACAUGAGGCUAGAUAUUUAAAUGUCUAAAUACAUAUUUACAGGAAUACAGUCUACAGUGCCAAUUUUUAAGAGUUUUGACUUGAACUAACUUCCUAACAGAUGGUUAUUCUGAAUCUAUCUUCAUUUAUUUACGGCUGUUUAUGUUUUUACAGAUAUAAUAAAUGACCUAAAGCUUA
Molecule: long non-coding RNA, 4805 nt
Organism: Pseudopipra pipra
Lineage: Eukaryota; Metazoa; Chordata; Aves; Passeriformes; Pipridae
Exons: 2
Source: RefSeq, a predicted model, not a curated record